RNAcentral lists this ribosomal RNA (1413 nucleotides) under uncultured bacterium. RNAcentral's name for it is "bacterial SSU rRNA". It matches the Rfam family "Bacterial small subunit ribosomal RNA". The record is from RNAcentral.
GACGAACGCUGGCGGCGCGUCUAAGACAUGCAAGUCGAACGGGGGUAGCAAUACCCUAGUGGCGAACGGGUGAGUAACACGUAGCUACCUGCCUUCCGGUGGGGGACAACAGUUCGAAAGGACUGCUAAUACCGCAUACGAUCUGCGGAUGAAAGCCUUCGGGCGCCGGAAGAGGGGGCUGCGGCCUAUUAGCUUGUUGGUGAGGUAACGGCUCACCAAGGCGAUGAUGGGUAGCUGAUCUGAGAGGAUGAUCAGCCACACUGGGACUGAGAUACGGCCCAGACUCCUACGGGAGGCAGCAGUUAAGAAUCUUGCGCAAUGGGCGAAAGCCUGACGCAGCGACGCCGCGUGGAGGAUGACGGCCUUCGGGUUGUAAACUCCUUUUCGGAGGGAAGAUAAUGACGGUACCUCCGGAAUAAGCCCCGGCUAAUUACGUGCCAGCAGCCGCGGUAAUACGUAAGGGGCAAGCGUUGUCCGGAAUCACUGGGCGUAAAGCGCGCGUAGGCGGUUUGGUAAGUCGGGUGUGAAAUCCCCGGGCUCAACCCGGGAACUGCGCUCGAAACUGCCUCACUGGAGGAACGGAGAGGUGCACGGAAUUCCCGGUGUAGGGGUGAAAUCCAUAGAGAUCGGGAGGAACACCAAUGGCGAAGGCAGUGCACUGGACGUUUCCUGACGCUGAGGUGCGAAAGCGUGGGUAGCGAACGGGAUUAGAUACCCUGGUAGUCCACGCUGUAAACGAUGAGUGCUAGGCGUCGGCACGCUUGCGUGUCGGUGCCGCAGCUAACGCGUGAAGCACUCCGCCUGGGGAGUACGGUCGCAAGAUUAAAACUCAAAGGAAUUGACGGGGGCCCGCACAAGCGGUGGAGCAUGUGGUUUAAUUCGACGCAACGCGCAGAACCUUACCAGCCCUUGACAUGCCGUGCUACACGCAGAGAUGCGUGGUUCCAGCAAUGGACGCGGACACAGGUGCUGCAUGGCUGUCGUCAGCUCGUGUCGUGAGAUGUUGGGUUAAGUCCCGCAACGAGCGCAACCCUUGCCUUUAGUUGCCAUCAUUUAGUUGGGCACUCUAGAGGGACUGCCGGCGGUAAGCCGGAGGAAGGUGGGGAUGACGUCAAGUCCUCAUGGCCCUUACGGGCUGGGCUACACACGUGCUACAAUGGUGGCGACAGAGGGCGCAAGCGAGAGCGCAAGCUUUAGCAAAUCCUCAAAAGCCAUCUCAGUUCAGAUUGCGCUCUGCAACUCGGGCGCAUGAAGGUGGAAUCGCUAGUAAUCGCAGAACAGCAGGCUGCGGUGAAUACGUUCCCGGGCCUUGUACACACCGCCCGUCACACCAUGGGAGUUGGUUUGACCUGAAGACGGUGCGCUAACCCGCAAGGGAGGCAGCCGGCCACGGUCAGGUCAGCGACUGGGGUG